GGUGAACGCUGGCGGCGUGCCUAAUACAUGCAAGUCGAGCGAAUGGAUUAAGAGCUUGCUCUUAUGAAGUUAGCGGCGGACGGGUGAGUAACACGUGGGUAACCUGCCCAUAAGACUGGGAUAACUCCGGGAAACCGGGGCUAAUACCGGAUAACAUUUUGAACCGCAUGGUUCGAAAUGGAAAGGCGGCUUCGGCUGUCACUUAUGGAUGGACCCGCGUCGCAUUAGCUAGUUGGUGAGGUAACGGCUCACCAAGGCAAUGAUGCGUAGCCGACCUGAGAGGGUGAUCGGCCACACUGGGACUGAGACACGGCCCAGACUCCUACGGGAGGCAGCAGUAGGGAAUCUUCCGCAAUGGACGAAAGUCUGACGGAGCAACGCCGCGUGAGUGAUGAAGGCUUUCGGGUCGUAAAACUCUGUUGUUAGGGAAGAACAAGUGCUAGUUGAAUAAGCUGGCACCUUGACGGUACCUAACCAGAAAGCCACGGCUAACUACGUGCCAGCAGCCGCGGUAA
RNAcentral lists this ribosomal RNA (515 nucleotides) under uncultured bacterium. Its description in RNAcentral is "partial 16S ribosomal RNA". It matches the Rfam family "Bacterial small subunit ribosomal RNA", at positions 28 to 523 of the family's 1533-position model. The record is from RNAcentral.